GUUAUUGUGAAGAGCCGAUCUGAAAAUCCACUCUGCUGCAGGUGGUUGCUACGGAGACCCCUUGUGGAAGCCAUUGUCUCCAUGACUGACCAGGAGGCUAAACCUUCAAGUGGGGUCUUAGAGGAUGAGAAGAAAGAUGUUAUCAAAGUCAAAGUUAUCGGAGAAGAUAGAAGUGAGAUACACUUCAGACUGAAAAUGACAACCAAGCUCAAGAAACUCAAGGACUCAUACAGUCGAAGACAGGGUCUAUCAGUGAAUUCACUGAAGUUUCUCUUUGAAGGCCAGAGGAUUGCCGAUAACCAUACUGCAGAAGAGCUGGGGAUGGAGGAGGAAGAUGUGAUUGAAGUUUAUCAAGUACAAACGGGAGGUGGGGUGUCAUUCAACAGUUUAGGACGAUCUGAUUGAAAUUUAUCUGGAAAAAAUGGAAAUCAUUCAACAGUUUAGAUGUUCUUUGUAAUUUUUCUUUUCCCCAAUGCUGUUCUUUUUUAAUUGUUCUUUUGUAAUGUGGUGUUCAGAGUGAAAAUUGAACAUUGUCACUUCAUCUCUCUAGAACAUCUGGUAGUCUGAAUUCUAGUACUCGGUAUUCAUUAUUAUAAUGAUUUUGGUGAUCAGACCUCAGCUCCUUUCAUAAAUGCACCGUGAGGCUGCCCUUCUCAGGACCAGUUUGAGUAUUUCUUAUGCCAUUCAAUCAGUCAAGAAUUCCACCAUAUGGCUGCUUCAAACCUAGCUUGUAAUUUUCAGGGCAAGAUGAAAGUUUUCAGAGAACUGCAUCGUGGCAAGUGACCUUGUGUCAGAUGGAAGCUGCUUCUAAAGUCUGAGGGUCUGGUCCAAGAACAGAGUACCAAAUUUGGAGUGGUGAUGACAGACAUGGCCAGAGUCACAACUGACUGCCAAGACUGCACGCUGAAGAGAAAGCAUCUCAGGAUUGAAUUAAUCUUUUCAUGUAAGCCCAGAAUGUUCUAAUUUUCAUCAACAGUUAAUAAUAAAAUUAUUCAG
RNA transcript from Grammomys surdaster, 996 nucleotides. It is a transcript of the gene named small ubiquitin-related modifier 1 pseudogene, with no coding region annotated. Lineage: Eukaryota; Metazoa; Chordata; Mammalia; Rodentia; Muridae. The record is from RefSeq and is a predicted model, not a curated record. The transcript has a single exon.